Molecule: transfer RNA, 97 nt
Filed under: Gemmatimonadota bacterium
Lineage: Bacteria; Pseudomonadati; Gemmatimonadota
Description: Gemmatimonadetes bacterium (groundwater metagenome) tRNA-Sec
Rfam family: Selenocysteine transfer RNA
Source: RNAcentral
GGGGGCGGAUGGGACCUGGUGGUUUCCUCAGUCUUCAAAACUGAUGCGACCCGAUCACGUCGGGUUGGGUGGGUUCGAUUCCCACACGCUCCCGCCA